Molecule: non-coding RNA, 105 nt
Organism: Schistosoma rodhaini
Lineage: Eukaryota; Metazoa; Platyhelminthes; Trematoda; Strigeidida; Schistosomatidae
Source: Rfam
UUUUCUCACCAUACCACGUUGGAAGCACCAGUUCCCGUCCGAUCACGACAGUUAAGCAACGCUUGGCCCGGUCAGUACUUGCAUAGGUAUAUUAUGUAGUAUAAC